Molecule: long non-coding RNA, 588 nt
Organism: Rosa chinensis
Lineage: Eukaryota; Viridiplantae; Streptophyta; Magnoliopsida; Rosales; Rosaceae
Exons: 2
Source: RefSeq, a predicted model, not a curated record
UAUCUCAUUCUCUUUUUUCAGUUCGUAUUAUUGUUCUUGAUUCUGUUUUUGCAAACGUCUGCCUGCUCUGAGUCUCAGCAGGUACCUUCUUCUUCUUCUUCCCAACAUUCAAGUCCAAUGAUAAGAGAAGUGCAGCUGGUUCCGAAAUCGACUUCGGAUCGUCUUCUCGAGAAGUUCUUUGAUGCUACACAGUAUGACUUUGAUUAUAAUGAGCAGAGUGGAUUGUGGUCUCCCCCUGUGCAGCGUAGUGUGUUCUUGAGUUCACAAGGUAAAAUAUUCACAGAACAUGAAAUGCACGCCAAGCUUACAACUUUAAUGGCUGCUCAAGCUCGUUCUACAACACACAACAAAAUUUGUUGCCGAGCAUUCUGGUGCUCUUGAAGCAUAUCUUGGAAGCCAGCUUAACCUUAUAUUGAAGAGGAUUGCAGGUCAAGACACAAGUAGGUAGCAAACAAGAAUUAAGAAGAAACAUGGGAUCCUCAGAAAUUUAGAAACCCAAUUGUAGUUUCUUUCCUCUUAUGUAAAUUGCUCGUUGUUCAAAGUUCUAAAAAGGAAAAUGAUAAUCGAGGGUGCAAAUAUUUUGUCAUC